Molecule: ribosomal RNA, 391 nt
Filed under: uncultured bacterium
Lineage: Bacteria
Description: partial 16S ribosomal RNA
Rfam family: Bacterial small subunit ribosomal RNA
Source: RNAcentral
AUACGGAAGGUCCGGGCGUUAUCCGGAUUUAUUGGGUUUAAAGGGAGCGCAGGCGGAGAUGCAAGCGUGACGUCAAAUUUCGGGGCUCAACCCCGUCUCGCGUCGCGAACUGCGUCCCUUGGUUGCGGGAAGGGGAGGCGGAACUCGUGGUGUAGCGGUGAAAUGCAUAGAUAUCACGAAGAACUCCGAUCGCGACAGCAGCCUUCCGGCCCGUCAACGACGCUCAUGCUCGAUGGUGCGAGUAUCAAACAGAAUUAGAUACCCUGGUAGGCCGCACAGUAAACGAUGGACACCCUCGGUUUGGCCUAUAUGGCUGAGCCGCCAAGCGAAAGCGUUAAGUGUCCCACCUGGGGAGUACGCCGGCAACGGUGAAACUCAAAUGAAUUGACGG